Molecule: long non-coding RNA, 1202 nt
Filed under: Helianthus annuus (common sunflower)
Lineage: Eukaryota; Viridiplantae; Streptophyta; Magnoliopsida; Asterales; Asteraceae
Description: hypothetical non coding rna
Source: RNAcentral
UUUUCAAACACCUCACAAUCACUCUCAAACACCUCUCAAUCUGCUGAUUUUCGCAAGAGUGGACAGAUUCAUACCAUGUUCUUCAAACAAGCAUAACUUCUUCAUUUCUUGUCCGUUUUCGUCGAUUCUUUUUCCAGAACGCUUGGCUUGACCUUGGCUUCGAUUCUAGGUGUGUUUCACAGCAAACAAGUCCCUGGAACUCCGGCAAAAAGGCUUCAAAGUCCACUGUUUAAGUUUGUUUUCAUUAAUCUUUGUUUAGACACGAGUUUAACUCACUCAAACCUAUGUCCUUAUGCUUAUAACCACUCCCAUGGUUAGUUAGGCUUAAAAACAAGGUUGAGACAUACAAAAUCAGAGGUUAACCCUCAAAUACUUUCUGUUUUAUUUAGGGUUUUUAACCCACAAGUGGUGUUCAAGCUUCAAGCUUGAUAAAGGUGUGAUUGUGGACUAACUUGGGUUGUCCAACAUAAAAUCCCCACAUCCCUUGAUGAUUUCUCAUAGUGUAGAUGUUUCUUAUUCUUGUAAUAAUAUUAGUUCAUGACCCUCCUUGUAUGUUUUUACAUCAAGUGUAGUGGUGAACCAUAAGAGGUACCUAAAUGGAAGCUUGUUCUUCCUACCUCCUACAUGAAUUCUAUGACACAAUAGAGGUACCUAAAUGAAGAUUUAUCUUCUACCUCAUGCUUGAUUAUUGGACUAAAUAAUACAUAUAAUACUUAUACAUAUAUUUACUAUUCGAACUCUUGAUGGUGGACUUGUGUUCAUUCGUCAAAGUAUUAGAAUACAUCAUCCAAGACAUAAGACUUGUUACGAUUCUAAUGAGUAUACUACUCGUGAAAACAUUAACCCUUGAGGUUUCAUAGUGUCAAGAACAAGUACUUGGUGUUAAAGGAUGAUUACUUUUGAAUACAUAUAUAUUCUUGUGUUUUAACUUCCUAAGUCCCUAAACGAACAUAUUCAACCUUCUAACCUCAUCAACUUCGUCACAUUGGAUAAUCGGAAAGCAUAUGCGAAUUUGUCGAGGAUUGAUGAUGCUAUGAAAACGGACUAGCAAAGAUGCCUAGAUACACAUAUAGACGUUAGGUUUAAAUGUUGUAUCAAUUUUGAUUAUGUUGUUAUGUAUUUCUUUUGAAAUUGUUGAUAUUUGAAAUUCCUUGUAUUGUUGACAAUUUAGUUUAUGAAAUGAAAUCGGUUUAUUAAAUAUU